UACGUAGGAUGCUAGCGUUGUCCGGAUUUACUGGGCGUAAAGCGCGCGCAGGCGGCACUGUAAGGAAGGUGUGAAAUCUCCCUGCUCAACGGGGAGGGUGCACUUUAGACUGCAGAGCUAGAGGACGGUAGAGGGGGGUGGAAUUGCUGGUGUAGCGGUGAAAUGCGUAGAGAUCAGCAGGAACACCCGUGGCGAAGGCGGCCCCCUGGGCCGAACCUGACGCUGAGGCGCGAAGGCUAGGGGAGCGAACGGG
This 253-nucleotide ribosomal RNA is filed under the name uncultured bacterium. Its description in RNAcentral is "partial 16S ribosomal RNA". It matches the Rfam family "Bacterial small subunit ribosomal RNA", at positions 524 to 776 of the family's 1533-position model. The record is from RNAcentral.